RNAcentral lists this ribosomal RNA (396 nucleotides) under uncultured bacterium. Its description in RNAcentral is "partial 16S ribosomal RNA". It matches the Rfam family "Bacterial small subunit ribosomal RNA", at positions 523 to 918 of the family's 1533-position model. The record is from RNAcentral.
AUACGUAGGGGGCGAGCGUUGUCCGGAAUGAUUGGGCGUAAAGGGCGCGUAGGCGGCGCGGUAAGUCUGGAGUGAAAGUCCUGCUUUCAAGGUGGGAAUUGCUUUGGAUACUGCCGCGCUUGAGUGCAGGAGAGGUUAUCGGAAUUCCCGGUGUAGCGGUGAAAUGCGUAGAGAUCGGGAGGAACACCAGUGGCGAAGGCGGGUAACGGGACUGCAACUGACGCUGAGGCGCGAAAGUGGGGGGAGCAAACAGGAUUAGAUCCCCUGGUAGUCCACGCCGUAAACGAUGUCAACUAGCCGUUGGGAACCUUGAGUUCUUAGUGGCGCAGCUAACGCACCAAGUUGACCGCCUGGGGAGUACGGUCGCAAGAUUAAAACUCAAAUGAAUUGACGGGG